Vicia villosa (hairy vetch) is the source of this 2464-nucleotide long non-coding RNA. RefSeq lists it as uncharacterized. The transcript is spliced from 5 exons. The record is from RefSeq and is a predicted model, not a curated record. Lineage: Eukaryota; Viridiplantae; Streptophyta; Magnoliopsida; Fabales; Fabaceae.
CCAGAUUUUUUUGUACUUCCCUCUUCCCAAACCCUAGCAGAAGCAAUCCGCUGACCUAUUUCUCCCUCCAUUGUGAACGUCUCACUCUCUGUCUCUUUCUCUGCUCUCACUUUCCCUUCAAACCCUAGCAGUUUUUCACCAUGCCUCAUACUUUGACGUCGUCAUCUCCACCGCAAAUUAUGAUAACAACAGCAUUUGGAUGACAUGAAGUGAAGGAAAUGGAAGACGAAGCUGCUGAUUUGUGAGAGAUACAGGCCAAAGUCGAGAAAGAUAUGGGAUUUGUGCAAGGACCGUUGUCGCCCCAUUGUCCUUCUCCUCUUGACGAACCCCAUACGUGUCGUCCUCCUAACUCCUCAACUCAAAAUCGCAAAGUCCAACUUCCAAGACUGCAAAAUCCUACUCAUCCCUUUCUGAUAUAACACUACAAUAUACUACGAUAUACGUACACACACUAACCAUGAUCCUCAAUAGUUAAAUCUCAAUCUUGUAACAGACCUGCAAGACACUUUCACAACCACUGCAGACUCCGAUCUUGUCGGUUUCGCGAGGCUUUUCUGUCUCAGAUGAAGCAUUACCUGGUUUGAGCGUCACUACAUCCAUAUAUGAGGUAGGUUUCAUCUGUGUUUUUGUAUAAAAGGAAAAAAAACGACAACUCUCAAAGGCAAUGGAGGACACUCUCAUCUAGGAUUUGUCCCAUCAACCAUUGUGAACCUUUUAGAAUCCAAGACACGUUUUGGAAACAACAUCAGGAUACUUUCCGAGGUUUAUCUGGUAUGUUCAUAACAAUUAACUAUAUUAAUAUGACAAUAUAUGUCUGUGAUAUUUGUUCAUUGGUUGGAUAUUGUCAAUUUUAGAGACAUAAUAGCAUUAAGACUUAUAUGUUUACUUUUAUAAGCCAUGAAAGUUUUCAAUCAAAUUAUGAGAAUAGUAAAACAGUGGCAAUUACGAAGGAAGGUGAGCAAGGCCUAAUGUCCAAAAUUCCAUGUAAAACAGUGUAAAGUUUUCAUUUACUGAAUGUUAGAAAUUUUUAUUUACUGAAAUCCUCAUGAAUUUUGGAAUAGAACAUUAAAUGCCUAAAUGGUGAGUGCAUUUGAAUAUCUUAUGGUAGAAUUAUCAUAAUAACCUUUGGACAUAUUCCAAUAACACCAUGGAAUAAUUUCAUGUCAUUAAUUUUUGGUUUUUACAGUUACUUUCUUUAUUAGCUUAUGCCCUUGAAUUUGGUUCAGCUGCUGCCCUGCUUUGACUGCAUUGUUGAGAAUGGGUUCGUGGCUUUCAGCUGAGGAGUUUCGUGUCAGUGUAAAUAAUUAUUUCAAUAAUAGUGUAAAUGUCCCUCCAAUGAUCGAGCUGUCCGUGUUAGCCUUCUCCAACAUAUUGAUCAAGUCGGAGUCAUUAUCAGCUCAAUAUAAUAUAUAAUCUACAGAUUCUUCCGACAAUUUCAAUUUCAUUAACAUCUAAUAAUCUUUGGUUAAUGUAUAGUAUAAUUUACAAAAUGAGGUACUACUUUGUUAAUAUUAUUGAAUUGUUAUUAUUAUUAUUAUUAUUAUUAUUAUUAUUAUUAUUAUUAUUCAAUUCAUGUUCCAAGAUUCAGAUUGAAGCUUAAUCUCUGCACCAUUUGAAGCUUUAAUCAGUGAACACUUUAUAUUUCCUUCGAUUCGUAUUAGUUUUGAAACAAACUUUAUCGAUCCAAAAAUCAAUAAGGUGUGACUUUUUAUGGAACUCAUGUUUACAGGUCCCAUUUUUUUUGUAUUGCAGAAGUUUAAACUGUGUAUGAAAAUGGAAGCUCCUCAAAUUGCCAUCAUAUCCUUAAGUGCACUUUUCAGUAGGCCGAAUUCUCUAACCAGCUUUAACAUGAAAGGAAUUAGCCCUUCAAUACUGACUUGGCUUGCUCAGAAUCAAGACAUCAACAACUUUGGUCCUGACGUUGAAAUUUUAUUUUAUUCUCCUUGCACGUGGAUCGAUGGCACGUUGGUGAUGAGACAGAAGGUUUUCUGUAGGUAUUGAUGCGAGGGACAAGCAUCUUGGUAUCCAUUUUCUUUGAGAGAAUUGGGGGACCUAACUGAUGCCACUAACACAAGUUCUGAAUUGAUUUUGGUGAUGAAAUAUGGUGGUUCAAAAUAUGGAUUGUAUGGAAAAUGAAUGCCUAUAGUGCACAUGAUAGCAACGUGACCGAAAAAUGACGGAUGAAGACGAAGCUUGAAGAUUAGAGGAGAAUUAUGUCUAGAGUCAAUGUUAGAAUUAGGUCCUGUAUAACUUUGAAAUUAGCUUAUUCUUGCAAUGUCUUUGUAGUCUAGAGAAAAUUGAAGUAAUGGCAUAAGUUGAAAAAUCAACUAUGUCUUCUUCUUGGUGCUUACUGUACAUAUGGGCCACUUGAUAUCGAACUCAGUAUACUCACUAUAUUAGCAGCUUGAAUUUGGUAUUGAACUUGGCGUGCCUUGAAUUAAUGACAUGAAUUAACUCUCUGUUU